Molecule: ribosomal RNA, 324 nt
Filed under: uncultured bacterium
Lineage: Bacteria
Description: bacterial SSU rRNA
Rfam family: Bacterial small subunit ribosomal RNA
Source: RNAcentral
GAUGAACGCUGGCGGCGUGCUUAACACAUGCAAGUCGAACGAGAAUCAACGGAUUGAGGAUUCGUCCAAAUGAAGUUGAGGAAAGUGGCGGACGGGUGAGUAACGCGUGAGGAACCUGCCUCGGAGUGGGGAAUAACAGUUGGAAACAGCUGCUAAUACCGCAUGAUACAGUUGGGUCGCAUGACUCUGACUGUCAAAGAUUUAUCGCUCUGAGAUGGCCUCGCGUCUGAUUAGCUGGUUGGCGGGGUAACGGCCCACCAAGGCGACGAUCAGUAGCCGGACUGAGAGGUUGACCGGCCACAUUGGGACUGAGACACGGCCCAG